RNAcentral lists this ribosomal RNA (1353 nucleotides) under Staphylococcus aureus. Its description in RNAcentral is "bacterial SSU rRNA". It matches the Rfam family "Bacterial small subunit ribosomal RNA", at positions 36 to 1370 of the family's 1533-position model. Lineage: Bacteria; Bacillati; Bacillota; Bacilli; Caryophanales; Staphylococcaceae. The record is from RNAcentral.
CUGGCGGCGUGCCUAAUACAUGCAAGUCGAGCGAACGGACGAGAAGCUUGCUUCUCUGAUGUUAGCGGCGGACGGGUGAGUAACACGUGGAUAACCUACCUAUAAGACUGGGAUAACUUCGGGAAACCGGAGCUAAUACCGGAUAAUAUUUUGAACCGCAUGGUUCAAAAGUGAAAGACGGUCUUGCUGUCACUUAUAGAUGGAUCCGCGCUGCAUUAGCUAGUUGGUAAGGUAACGGCUUACCAAGGCAACGAUGCAUAGCCGACCUGAGAGGGUGAUCGGCCACACUGGAACUGAGACACGGUCCAGACUCCUACGGGAGGCAGCAGUAGGGAAUCUUCCGCAAUGGGCGAAAGCCUGACGGAGCAACGCCGCGUGAGUGAUGAAGGUCUUCGGAUCGUAAAACUCUGUUAUUAGGGAAGAACAUAUGUGUAAGUAACUGUGCACAUCUUGACGGUACCUAAUCAGAAAGCCACGGCUAACUACGUGCCAGCAGCCGCGGUAAUACGUAGGUGGCAAGCGUUAUCCGGAAUUAUUGGGCGUAAAGCGCGCGUAGGCGGUUUUUUAAGUCUGAUGUGAAAGCCCACGGCUCAACCGUGGAGGGUCAUUGGAAACUGGAAAACUUGAGUGCAGAAGAGGAAAGUGGAAUUCCAUGUGUAGCGGUGAAAUGCGCAGAGAUAUGGAGGAACACCAGUGGCGAAGGCGACUUUCUGGUCUGUAACUGACGCUGAUGUGCGAAAGCGUGGGGAUCAAACAGGAUUAGAUACCCUGGUAGUCCACGCCGUAAACGAUGAGUGCUAAGUGUUAGGGGGUUUCCGCCCCUUAGUGCUGCAGCUAACGCAUUAAGCACUCCGCCUGGGGAGUACGACCGCAAGGUUGAAACUCAAAGGAAUUGACGGGGACCCGCACAAGCGGUGGAGCAUGUGGUUUAAUUCGAAGCAACGCGAAGAACCUUACCAAAUCUUGACAUCCUUUGACAACUCUAGAGAUAGAGCUUUCCCCUUCGGGGGACAAAGUGACAGGUGGUGCAUGGUUGUCGUCAGCUCGUGUCGUGAGAUGUUGGGUUAAGUCCCGCAACGAGCGCAACCCUUAAGCUUAGUUGCCAUCAUUAAGUUGGGCACUCUAAGUUGACUGCCGGUGACAAACCGGAGGAAGGUGGGGAUGACGUCAAAUCAUCAUGCCCCUUAUGAUUUGGGCUACACACGUGCUACAAUGGACAAUACAAAGGGCAGCGAAACCGCGAGGUCAAGCAAAUCCCAUAAAGUUGUUCUCAGUUCGGAUUGUAGUCUGCAACUCGACUACAUGAAGCUGGAAUCGCUAGUAAUCGUAGAUCAGCAUGCUACGGUGAAUACG